AGAGUUUGAUCCUGGCUCAGGAUGAACGCUGGCGGCGUGCUUAACACAUGCAAGUCGAACGAAGCAAUAAAGUGGAAGUUUUCGGAUGGAAACUUUAUUGACUGAGUGGCGGACGGGUGAGUAACGCGUGGGUAACCUGCCUUAUACAGGGGGAUAACAGUUGGAAACGACUGCUAAUACCGCAUAAGCUUACAGUACCGCAUGGUACAGUGGGAAAAGAUUUAUCGGUAUAAGAUGGACCCGCGUCUGAUUAGCUAGUUGGUGGGGUAAUGGCCUACCAAGGCGACGAUCAGUAGCCGACUUGAGAGAGUGAUCGGCCACAUUGGGACUGAGACACGGCCCAAACUCCUACGGGAGGCAGCAGUGGGGAAUAUUGCACAAUGGGGGAAACCCUGAUGCAGCGACGCCGCGUGAGUGAAGAAGUAUUUCGGUACGUAAAGCUCUAUCAGCAAGGAAGAUAAUGACGGUACUUGACUAAGAAGCCCCGGCUAACUACGUGCCAGCAGCCGCGGUAAUACGUAGGGGGCAAGCGUUAUCCGGAUUUACUGGGUGUAAAGGGAGCGUAGGUGGCAUGAUAAGUCAGAUGUGAAAGCCCAGGGCUCAACCCUGGGACUGCAUUUGAAACUAUCAAGCUAGAGUGCAGGAGAGGUAAGUGGAAUUCCUAGUGUAGCGGUGAAAUGCGUAGAUAUUAGGAGGAACACCAGUGGCGAAGGCGGCUUACUGGACUGUAACUGACACUGAGGCUCGAAAGCGUGGGGAGCAAACAGGAUUAGAUACCCUGGUAGUCCACGCCGUAACGAUGAGUACUAGGUGUAGGAGGUAUCGACCCCUUCUGUGCCGCAGUUAACACAAUAAGUACUCCGCCCUGGGAAGUACGAUCGCAGAUUUAAAACUCAAAGG
This 900-nucleotide ribosomal RNA is filed under the name uncultured bacterium. Its description in RNAcentral is "bacterial SSU rRNA". It matches the Rfam family "Bacterial small subunit ribosomal RNA", at positions 8 to 907 of the family's 1533-position model. The record is from RNAcentral.